GAUCAUGGCUCAGGACGAACGCUGGCGGCGCGCCUAACACAUGCAAGUCGAACGAGCGAGAGGAAAGCUUGCUUUCUCGAGCGAGUGGCGAACGGGUGAGUAACGCGUGAGGAACCUGCCUCAAAGAGGGGGGACAACAGUUGGAAACGACUGCUAAUACCGCAUAAGCCCACGGCUCGGCAUCGAGCAGAGGGAAAAGGAGCAAUCCGCUUUGAGAUGGCCUCGCGUCCGAUUAG
RNAcentral lists this ribosomal RNA (236 nucleotides) under uncultured bacterium. RNAcentral describes it as "partial 16S ribosomal RNA". It matches the Rfam family "Bacterial small subunit ribosomal RNA", at positions 15 to 244 of the family's 1533-position model. The record is from RNAcentral.